This 255-nucleotide ribosomal RNA is filed under the name uncultured bacterium. Its description in RNAcentral is "partial 16S ribosomal RNA". It matches the Rfam family "Bacterial small subunit ribosomal RNA", at positions 213 to 470 of the family's 1533-position model. The record is from RNAcentral.
UUGCGCUAUCAGAUGAGCCUAGGUCGGAUUAGCUAGUUGGUGAGGUAAUGGCUCACCAAGGCUACGAUCCGUAACUGGUCUGAGAGGAUGAUCAGUCACACUGGAAGGGAGACACGGUCCAGACUCCUACGGGAGGCAGCAGUGGGGAAUAUUGGACAAUGGGCGAAAGCCUGAUCCAAACAGGCCGCGUGUGUGAAGAAGGUCUUCGGAUGUAAAGCAAUUGAGCGGGAGGAAGGGCAUUAACCUAAUACGUUA